AGUGAAGAGAUGCCAGACCCCGCGUAGAGGGUAGAGGAAUGCGCUGCCGCGGAGAGCCAUGGAAGAACCUGCCAAUGGAGGGACCACAGAAGGAUCUAUGGGAGAACAACGGGAACUGCAGGAGAGUGGGCCAAAUAAUCAUGGCAACAGGACUUUUAGAAGCACAUCCUCUGAAAGCCAUUUUCUGCUGCCUGUGGUUGGAAAGGGACUGUGAGUCUUUCCUCAGGAAGUCAGUAGCCCUACCUGGUGAGGUGAUCAAGAGUUUGCUAGCACAAGAGAUGAAGCAACAAUGACCACGAGGGCUUCAAGGAUUAUGCGGUAAGAUCUUAUGAAACACUUAAGAGCUACACAAGGACCUAGACUUUAGGUUUGCUCCACAGGGCCACACUUCCAGUUCUGUUUCACUUCCAGAUUUUCCCAGUUUUUCAUGCCUUUUCUCUGGUCAUGGCAGAAGAAGCAAUGAUCUGAUUCAAGGGCAGGCAGGAGAAGAGAAAGCCAAAUCAAGAGCCUGAAUAAGCAAUACCCAGCAUAAUUUCAUUGACCACAUUCAGUCUAUCAGUCUUUUGGGAAAUAUUUAUAUUUUUCCUUCUCCCUGCCUUUGUCACCAAAAAAUUUCAUUU
This 620-nucleotide long non-coding RNA is filed under the name Pongo abelii (Sumatran orangutan). RNAcentral describes it as "lincRNA". Lineage: Eukaryota; Metazoa; Chordata; Mammalia; Primates; Hominidae. The record is from RNAcentral.